Molecule: transfer RNA, 88 nt
Filed under: Azospira sp. I13
Lineage: Bacteria; Pseudomonadati; Pseudomonadota; Betaproteobacteria; Rhodocyclales; Rhodocyclaceae
Description: tRNA-Arg
Source: RNAcentral
GGCCAGGCCUGCGGCAAAGCGCUGGCGGGCCAGGUUGCGGGCCCGCCCGGCCUGGCUCAGGGCCAGGUUCGAUUCCCGGGCCUGGCCG